GCUGCAUUAGCUAUAGCCAUGGCUGUGGUGUCUGAAAAGCCUAGCUUAAUCGUUGCACUUCCAACGCCACUCUUGGUAACUUCAAGAGCUGCCAUGUAAAAGGCUCGAGCUGGGAUAGUUCCCAUUAAAGAGGUUCCAAAUCCUCUGUAAAACCCUCUCAAGCCUUCAUGACGCAUGAUAGAGUAUGACAUUUUAAAGCAUGAUACCUUGGUAGCUGAAACCUGAAGUCGAGUUUUCAAAAGAACAACAGGAUAAAGAGCAGUUGAUACACCUGAAAAUAAAGCAGCACCCAGAAAAAAGAAUUUGGAUUUGUCUAACAUAUCCCAAUCAAUCUCUGCUGGAAUAUGAAUUUCAGAGGUUGAUUCAUCCUCUGCUGCAUCCAGGCUCAUCUUAGCCAGUUCUAAAACUAAUCACAAACAACCCCAGAAAUCAGAUACCCCUCUUCCUUCAACAAUCUAUGUAACCACAGUUCCUAUUAUCUCGUCUGACAGAACUAACUCAUUAAAAUAAACAAGACUUCAAAAAUGAAAUCCAAAAAAGACCCAAAUGAAAAAGGGUCAUAGAAACGAAAAGGGGAGAUCAGAAGCUGAAGUACAAGAGACAAUAACAACAAUAAUUGGAGUAAUUAUGUUUUCCUCUGGUAACAGAUUAUGAGAUUGGACUUAU
This 666-nucleotide unclassified non-coding RNA is filed under the name Hevea brasiliensis (rubber tree). Lineage: Eukaryota; Viridiplantae; Streptophyta; Magnoliopsida; Malpighiales; Euphorbiaceae. The record is from RNAcentral.